CGUGCCAGCAGCCGCGGUAAUACGAAGGGGGCUAGCGUUGUUCGGAUUUACUGGGCGUAAAGGGUGCGUAGGCGGAUUGUUAAGUCAGGGGUGAAAUCCCGAGGCUCAACCUCGGAACUGCCUUUGAUACUGGCGAUCUUGAGUCUGGGAGAGGUGAGUGGAACUGCGAGUGUAGAGGUGAAAUUCGUAGAUAUUCGCAAGAACACCGGUGGCGAAGGCGGCUCACUGGCCCGGUACUGACGCUGAGGCACGAAAGCGUGGGGAGCAAACGGGAUUAGAUACCCUGGUAGUCCACGCCGUAAACGAUGA
RNAcentral lists this ribosomal RNA (309 nucleotides) under uncultured bacterium. Its description in RNAcentral is "bacterial SSU rRNA". It matches the Rfam family "Bacterial small subunit ribosomal RNA", at positions 504 to 812 of the family's 1533-position model. The record is from RNAcentral.